GAUGAACGCUGGCGGCGUGCCUAAUACAUGCAAGUCGAGCGAACAGACGAGGAGCUUGCUCCUCUGACGUUAGCGGCGGACGGGUGAGUAACACGUGGAUAACCUACCUAUAAGACUGGGAUAACUUCGGGAAACCGGAGCUAAUACCGGAUAAUAUAUUGAACCGCAUGGUUCAAUAGUGAAAGACGGUUUUGCUGUCACUUAUAGAUGGAUCCGCGCCGCAUUAGCUAGUUGGUAAGGUAACGGCUUACCAAGGCAACGAUGCGUAGCCGACCUGAGAGGGUAAUCGGCCACACUGGAACUGAGACACGGUCCAGACUCCUACGGGAGGCAGCAGUAGGGAAUCUUCCGCAAUGGGCGAAAGCCUGACGGAGCAACGCCGCGUGAAUGAUGAAGGUCUUCGGAUCGUAAAACUCUGUUAUUAGGGAAGAACAAAUGUGUAAGUAACUAUGCACGUCUUGACGGUACCUAAUCAGAAAGCCACGGCUAACUACGUG
Molecule: ribosomal RNA, 497 nt
Filed under: uncultured bacterium
Lineage: Bacteria
Description: partial 16S ribosomal RNA
Rfam family: Bacterial small subunit ribosomal RNA
Source: RNAcentral